UGUUUAAAUUGCAGGUGAAGAAAGGGCAAGGCAAGACCGGUGCCAGCCGCCGCGGUAAUACCGGCUGCUCGAGUGAUGGCCACUAUUACUGGGUUUAAAGCGUCCGUAGCUUGACUGAUAGGUCUCUUGGGAAAUCUUAACGCUUAACGUUAAGGCGUCUAAGAGAUACCGUCAGUCUUGGAACUGGGAGAGGUAAACCGUACUUCGCGGGUAGGAGUGAAAUCUUGUAAUCCUCGAGGGACGACCUAUGGCGAAGGCAGUUUACCAGAACAGCUUCGACAGUGAGGGACGAAAGCUGGGGGAGCAAACGGGAUUAGAUACCCCGGUAGUCCCAGCCGUAAACAAUGUGCGUUAGGUGUAUCGGUAACCACGCGUUACUGAUGCGCCGCAGAGAAAUCGUGAAACGCACCACCUGGGAAGUACGGUCGCAAGGCUGAAACUUAAAGG
This 447-nucleotide ribosomal RNA is filed under the name uncultured Methanocorpusculum sp. Its description in RNAcentral is "bacterial SSU rRNA". It matches the Rfam family "Archaeal small subunit ribosomal RNA", at positions 416 to 862 of the family's 1478-position model. The record is from RNAcentral. Lineage: Archaea; Methanobacteriati; Methanobacteriota; Methanomicrobia; Methanomicrobiales; Methanocorpusculaceae.